This 327-nucleotide unclassified non-coding RNA is filed under the name soil metagenome. RNAcentral's name for it is "partial contains 5.8S ribosomal RNA, internal transcribed spacer 2, and large subunit ribosomal RNA". The stretch from base 1 to 120 matches the Rfam family "5.8S ribosomal RNA", at positions 35 to 154 of the family's 154-position model. The record is from RNAcentral.
GAUGAAGAACGUAUCGAAAUGCGAUAAGUAGUGUGAAUUGCAGACUUUAGUGAAUCAUCGAAUCUUUGAACGCACAUUGCGCCCCUUGGUAUUCCAUUGGGCAUGCCUGUUCGAGCGUCAUUUACACCCUCAAGCCUAGCUUGGUGUUGGGCGUUGUCCGCAAGGACUCGCCUCAAAUUCAUUGGCAGCGGCAUCGUCAGCUUCUCGCGCAGCACAUUGCGCUUCAGAAGGCUUCUGGCGGGCUCGCGUCCACUAAGAUACCACCCAGUUUGACCUCGAAUCAGGUAGGGAUACCCGCUGAACUUAAGCAUAUCAAUAAGCGGAGGA